ACGAACGCUGGCGGCAUGCCUCACCCCUGCAAGUCGAACGAGACCUUCGGGUCUAGUGGCGCACGGGUGCGUAACGCGUGGGAACCUGCCCUUAGGUUCGGAAUAACUCCCCGAAAGGGGUGCUAAUACCGGAUAAUGUCUUCGGACCAAAGAUUUAUCGCCUUUGGAUGGGCCCGCGUUGGAUUAGCUAGUUGGUAGGGUAAAAGCCUACCAAGGCGACGAUCCAUAGCUGGUCUGAGAGGAUGAUCAGCCACACUGGGACUGAGACACGGCCCAGACUCCUACGGGAGGCAGCAGUGGGGAAUAUUGGACAAUGGGCGAAAGCCUGAUCCAGCAAUGCCGCGUGAGUGAUGAAGGCCUCAGGGUUGUAAAGCUCUUUUACCCGGGAUGAUAAUGACAGUACCGGGAGAAUAAGCUCCGGCUAACUCCGUG
RNAcentral lists this ribosomal RNA (432 nucleotides) under uncultured bacterium. Its description in RNAcentral is "partial 16S ribosomal RNA". It matches the Rfam family "Bacterial small subunit ribosomal RNA", at positions 29 to 507 of the family's 1533-position model. The record is from RNAcentral.